UACGUAGGGUGCGAGCGUUAAUCGGAAUUACUGGGCGUAAAGCGUGCGCAGGCGGUUUUGAAAGUCAGAUGUGAAAUCCCCGGGCUCAACCGGGGAAUUGCUUGGUGAACUGCACGUCUUGAGGCAGGUAGAGGUGGUCGGAACGAUAGGUGGAGCGGUGAUAUGCUUAGAUAUCUAUCGGAACGCCAAAGGAGAAGUCAGGCCACUGGGCCUGUUCUGACGCUGAGGCACGAAAGCGUGGGUAGCGAACGGGAUUAGAUACCCCGGUAGUCCACGCCGUAAACGAUGCGCACUAGGUCGGGGAGGUUUGACGCCCUCCCGGCCGAAGCAAAAGUGUUAAGUGCGCCGCCUGGGGAGUACGGUCGCAAGGCUAAAACUCAAAGGAAUUGGCGGGGGCUCACACAAGCGGUGGAGCAUGUGGCUUAAUUCGAAGCAACGCGAAGAACCUUAUCCAGGGUUUGACAUGCACGGAUCAACCCCAUGAAAGUGGGGCCACACCCGCAAGGGCGGAACGUGCACAGGUGCUGCAUGGCUGUCGUCAGCUCGUGCUGUGAAGUGUCGGGUUAAGUCCCUCAACGAGCGAAACCCCUGUCGCUAGUUGCCAGCAGGUAAAGCUGGGGACUCUAGCGAGACUGCCGGUGUCAAACCGGAGGAAGGUGGGGAUGACGUCAAGUCCUCAUGGCCUUUAUGCCCUGGGCUGCACACGUGCUACAAUGGUGGGUACAAAACGAUGCAAGACCGCGAGGUGGAGCAAAUCGCCAAAACCCGCCCCAGUUCGGAUUGCAGGCUGCAACUCGCCUGCAUGAAGUCGGAAUCGCUAGUAAUCGCGGAUCAGCUACGCCGCGGUGAAUACGUUCCUGAGCCU
This 865-nucleotide ribosomal RNA is filed under the name uncultured bacterium. RNAcentral describes it as "SSU rRNA". It matches the Rfam family "Bacterial small subunit ribosomal RNA", at positions 524 to 1381 of the family's 1533-position model. The record is from RNAcentral.